This 858-nucleotide long non-coding RNA is filed under the name Ananas comosus (pineapple). RNAcentral's name for it is "long non-coding RNA (ACOM_LNC016131)". The record is from RNAcentral. Lineage: Eukaryota; Viridiplantae; Streptophyta; Magnoliopsida; Poales; Bromeliaceae.
CUACUGUAACCAUUCUACAGAAAAUAAAAAUAUCUUUUGGGAUAUUACUCUAAUAAGUCGAAUUGAGCUAGAAUAUUUUUAGAAGCACCAAUCUCUUGGUGCUUAGAAGUUUAUAGCUCUUAAAUCUAUUCCAUGAUUAUUAAUAACUUUUGGAUCAAAUACUAUUUCAUCUACCGCCACCUAUCACAACCUACUAUCAUCAUCUCAACUCUAUAUCUCUCCAUCUAAUGGUUAAAUACUCAAAAGCAACACCUCUUGAUGCUUUUGAGAGUAUUUUAGCCCAACUCCUAAUAAGUCCCACUAUAAUGCUAACCAAGCAGUUAGUCCUGCCAAAUUUUUCACACUUAGAUCUAUUUUUUAUCAUUGUUAUUUUUAAAAUUAUAUUAUUUUAUCAAUCACUUAUUAAAUUUAGAGUACCAUUAUCGUUCUAACCAAACAUCCCUCCGACUGAAAAUCUAAUCGCACUAAGGGAGUUCGUGCUUCUAAUUUUUUUUAGCCCUCGGAUCAACCUCUUUAAUUAUUUUUAAUUUUUGAAUUAACAUUAUUAUUCUAAGGGGACCACUAUCAUCUUGAUCAUACAAUUCUUAAUUCAAAGAUCAAAAAGUCGGAAACAUUAAUAUCCCUUAUGCUUUAGAUAGUAUAAUAGUUCUACACUUAUUAUAUUGUUACUAGAUAAUAAAAAAUUAAUGUGUUACUAAUAUAAAAAUAUUAUAGUAUAUUUUUAUUUAUUAUUUUAUGGUGCUAUAUUAUUUUUUAUAUAAUUAUAUAAGAUUAAUAAAAUUUAAAAAUUAGAAUAGGUUAAAAUUUUAUGAAUAAAUGGAUUAUGUAGUUUGAUGGCUAAAGUGUAGGAAUGUAAAA